RNAcentral lists this ribosomal RNA (379 nucleotides) under uncultured Pseudomonas sp. RNAcentral's name for it is "bacterial SSU rRNA". It matches the Rfam family "Bacterial small subunit ribosomal RNA", at positions 68 to 448 of the family's 1533-position model. Lineage: Bacteria; Pseudomonadati; Pseudomonadota; Gammaproteobacteria; Pseudomonadales; Pseudomonadaceae. The record is from RNAcentral.
GGUAGCAGAGAAGCUUGCUUCUCUUGAGAGCGGCGGACGGGUGAGUAAAGCCUAGGAAUCUGCCUGGUAGUGGGGGAUAACGUUCGGAAACGGACGCUAAUACCGCAUACGUCCUACGGGAGAAAGCAGGGGACCUUCGGGCCUUGCGCUAUCAGAUGAGCCUAGGUCGGAUUAGCUAGUUGGUGAGGUAAUGGCUCACCAAGGCGACGAUCCGUAACUGGUCUGAGAGGAUGAUCAGUCACACUGGAACUGAGACACGGUCCAGACUCCUACGGGAGGCAGCAGUGGGGAAUAUUGGACAAUGGGCGAAAGCCUGAUCCAGCCAUGCCGCGUGUGUGAAGAAGGUCUUCGGAUUGUAAAGCACUUUAAGUUGGGAGGA